This 263-nucleotide long non-coding RNA is filed under the name Manihot esculenta (cassava). RNAcentral's name for it is "long non-coding RNA (MESC_LNC000816)". The record is from RNAcentral. Lineage: Eukaryota; Viridiplantae; Streptophyta; Magnoliopsida; Malpighiales; Euphorbiaceae.
UCUCUAUCUUCAAUUAACAAAUCUCACGUCAUAGCAGACUGAUCAACUUAAUUACGUUAAUAUCUCUCUCAAAAAUCAAACAAACUACUGGUACUAGUAGUUGAGGAUCUCACCUUAUGUACAGAAAAUUACGAAAAUAAAUUAGCUUUUGCAGGAUGUGCAGGAAAUUUAGGGUUAUCAGUUUGGAUACAUCUACCACUAUUAUUGCUUAUUUGUAAGGCACUGAGGCAUCUCUGAACACUGCCCUUCUUUUUUCUUCUUGC